AUUGAACGCUGGCGGCAGGCUUAACACAUGCAAGUCGAGCGGGGUGAUGGUGCUUGCACUAUCACUUAGCGGCGGACGGGUGAGUAAUGCUUAGGAAUCUGCCUAUUAGUGGGGGACAACAUCUCGAAAGGGAUGCUAAUACCGCAUACGUCCUACGGGAGAAAGCAGGGGAUCACUUGUGACCUUGCGCUAAUAGAUGAGCCUAAGUCGGUUUAGCUAGUUGGUGGGGUAAAGGCCUACCAAGGCGACGAUCUGUAGCGGGUCUGAGGGGAUGAUCCGCCACACUGGGACUGAGACACGGCCCAGACUCCUACGGGAGGCAGCAGUGGGGAAUAUUGGACAAUGGGGGGAACCCUGAUCCAGCCAUGCCGCGUGUGUGAAGAAGGCCUUAUGGUUGUAAAGCACUUUAAGCGAGGAGGAGGCUCUUUUGGUUAAUACCCAAGAUGAGUGGACGUUACUCGCAGAAUAAGCACCGGCUAACUCUGUGCCAGCAGCCGCCGUAA
RNAcentral lists this ribosomal RNA (503 nucleotides) under uncultured bacterium. RNAcentral describes it as "partial 16S ribosomal RNA". It matches the Rfam family "Bacterial small subunit ribosomal RNA", at positions 30 to 523 of the family's 1533-position model. The record is from RNAcentral.